RNAcentral lists this long non-coding RNA (1236 nucleotides) under Homo sapiens (human). RNAcentral describes it as "long non-coding RNA NONHSAT194230.1". Lineage: Eukaryota; Metazoa; Chordata; Mammalia; Primates; Hominidae. The record is from RNAcentral.
GGACCUUCCACCAAUAUUCCUGAAAAUGAUACUGUGGAUGGUAGGGAAGAAAAGUCUGCUUCUGAUUCUUCUGGAAAACAGUCUACUCAGGUUAUGGCAGCAAGUAUGUCUGCUUUUGAUCCUUUAAAAAACCAAGAUGAAAUCAAUAAAAAUGUUAUGUCAGCGUUUGGCUUAACAGAUGAUCAGGUUUCAGGGCCACCCAGUGCUCCUGCAGAAGAUCGUUCAGGAACACCCGACAGCAUUGCUUCCUCCUCCUCAGCAGCUCACCCACCAGGCGUUCAGCCACAGCAGCCACCAUAUACAGGAGCUCAGACUCAAGCAGGUCAGAUGUACCAACAGUACCAGCAACAGGCCGGCUAUGGUGCACAGCAGCCGCAGGCUCCACCUCAGCAGCCUCAACAGUAUGGUAUUCAGUAUUCAGCAAGCUAUAGUCAGCAGACUGGACCUCAACAACCUCAGCAGUUCCAGGGAUAUGGCCAGCAACCAACUUCCCAGGCACCAGCUCCUGCCUUUUCUGGUCAGCCUCAACAACUGCCUGCUCAGCCGCCACAGCAGUACCAGGCGAGCAAUUAUCCUGCACAAACUUACACUGCCCAAACUUCUCAGCCUACUAAUUAUACUGUGGCUCCUGCCUCUCAACCUGGAAUGGCUCCAAGCCAACCUGGGGCCUAUCAACCAAGACCAGGUUUUACUUCACUUCCUGGAAGUACCAUGACCCCUCCUCCAAGUGGGCCUAAUCCUUAUGCGCGUAACCGUCCUCCCUUUGGUCAGGGCUAUACCCAACCUGGACCUGGUUAUCGAUAAGGAGGCUCCUCUACACCAAUUAAUGUAGCUGCUAGCUAUUGGCCUCCCAAAAGACUCCAGUACUAUUUUAAUUUGUAUUGAAGAAGUUCAGAAAUUUAAAAGCAGAGCAUUUUUUAUGAUAUCAUUGUUGGUGUUAAUUGAAAGUAUAAUUUGCUGGAACACAAAGACCAAAAUGAAAGUUUUUUCCUCCCUGCUUAAAAAUGUAGCAGCUUCUUAGUUACUUUGGAACACUACUCUUACAUGUAUAAAGUGAUUGACUUGACUUUCUAGCUUCCCUUGUCCGGAGGAUAUUAAAAUGCUAGGGUGAGGUUUAGCCAUCUUACUUGGCUUUUUACUAUUAACAUGAUGUACUAAAGUAGAGCCCUUUGAGAAUACAAGAUAUUAUGUAUAAAAUGUAACACUGAUGAUAGGUUAAUAAAGAUGAUUGAAUCC